Molecule: ribosomal RNA, 486 nt
Filed under: uncultured bacterium
Lineage: Bacteria
Description: partial 16S ribosomal RNA
Rfam family: Bacterial small subunit ribosomal RNA
Source: RNAcentral
GAUGAACGCUGGCGGCGUGCCUAAUACAUGCAAGUCGAACGCUGGAAAUCUAGCUUGCUAGAUUGAAGGAGUGGCGAACGGGUGAGUAAUACAUAAGCAACCUACCCACGAAGACUGGGAUAAUCUCUGGAAACGGGGACUAAUACCGGAUAGGUAAUCGGAAGGCAUCUUCUGAUUAUUAAAGGUUAAAAACACUGGUGGAUGGGCUUAUGGCGCAUUAGUUAGUUGGUGAGGUAACGGCCCACCAAGACGAUGAUGCGUAGCCGGCCUGAGAGGGUGAACGGCCACAUUGGGACUGAGACACGGCCCAGACUCCUACGGGAGGCAGCAGUAGGGAAUUUUCGGCAAUGGGGGAAACCCUGACCGAGCAACGCCGCGUGAGUGAUGCCGGCCUUCGGGUUGUAAAGCUCUGUUGUAAGGGAAGAACGGUAGAUAGCGAAUAUCUAAAUGACGGUACCUUACCAGAAAGCCACGGCUAACUACGUG